CUCUCUAUUGGGAUAACUUAGGUUUCACAGUUGUCCUGAGGACACAUAGAACAACCAGCCAGGACCAACUGCGGUGGUGGCACAGGCUUGGUGAAUGCUUCAAGGUUUUUUUUCAUCCACUUAAAAAUUUUUUUAAAUUUACUUUUGAUUGCACUGGGUCUUCGUUGCAGCAUGAGGGCUUUAUCUAUUAAUAGUUGCAGGGAGCAGUGGCUUCUCUUAUUGCAGAACAUGGGCUCUAGGUACACAGGUUUCAGUAGUUAUGGUACAUGGGCUUAGUUGCCCAUCAUGUGUGGGAAUUUCCCGGACCAGGAAUUGAACACGUGUUCCCUGCAUUGACAGGUGGAUUCUUAACCACUGGACCACCAGGGAAGUCUGUUUUCAUCCAGCUUUUGAUUGAAGCAUCCUCCUUUAAGAUGUGGGUUGAGUUUCUCCUUCUUGCUCUGUCUCUGUCUCUUUCAAGUUGGUCAAGUGUCUAGAAACCCACUUUACCAUAAACACAAGUGGUUUGUUGAUAUUUGGCGACUAACUAAUGAUGACAGAAAGGAAGAUGGUGAAUCUCUGGGGUGACUGCACCGUUUACACUCAGUGUUUAUCACAUAGAGCUGAUUUAUGUCACACUGGGGAAAGAGGGCUAAGAAAAUGUGACUGCCUCAGGGCAGGUCAUGGGUAGAUGGAGAUCCUUUGUCAUCAUCAACACUGGCCACGUGCCUACAGCUACCAGCAUGGAGAAAGCAGCUCAGGACAGGCCAGAUGCUCCAUCUUUGGGCCAAGGUGAGAGGAUAGAGCUAAGACAGUGUCUGAGAGGCAAAACGAGAGAUGUCCAGGAGCUCCUCAAUGCCUGGCAAAGUGAAGCUGUAAGACUGCUAUGCAAAAGACUGAAAUCUGAUUGGAUGGCAGCCCAGACAGCCUGUGUCCAGCAACAUUCUCCUCUCCUUUCUGUGAGCUGGUGGGAUCCCUGGCCCGCUACUUGUGCUUCCACCCAAGAUGACCUGGAGAAGGGCUUGGCAACCCACCCCAGCAUUCUUGCCUGGAGAAUCCCCAUGGACAGAGGAGCCUUGGCGGGCUAGGCUGUAGAGUCGCACAAGGUGGGAUAGGACUGAAGUGACUUAGCAUGCAGGCACGCACCCAAGAUGAAUUAAAAUGAACAACGGGGGAGGGGAAAUAACAAAGUAAUUAGAACUGUCCAUUAAUUAAAAGAGCUUGAUGUGGCUCUCUGACAUGCAAUGGAUCAUGUCAUUGUCAACACAGGAAUUUAUUAUCAGGAGGCCAGCAUUUGGGGUAAAAACGAAACAAGCAAAGCGAAAAGAAAAAGAUAGAAUCACAGUACCACAGGAAUUCUCCAUCUUGGUCUGGGUACUGUGUAUAAUUUGGGCUGAAUAACUCUUGGUGGUGGGGGGUGUCCUGGGCAUUUUAGGGCGUUUAAUUACUGUCUCCACGGACUACAUGCAAGGAGUACUCCCUGCCCAAGCUGUGACAUCCCCAAAUGACUCCAGACAUAAUCAAACAUCCCCGAAGAGCAACUUGCCCCUGGUUAAGGACCACUAACAGUACAGUAACUAAAACAUAGCCAGUGCUCCUUUAUGUCCUGCAUCACCUUUUUCCCCGUGACUGCUUGACAGAAGCUUGUUGUCAAGCUACAAUGAGAGCAUGAUAUUUAGACAGGAAGCUGAAGGCAGUUGGUAGUUUAAGAAAGAGAAUAGUGUGACACCUUUUCAAAUCAUCAUGACUUAACCAUGUCCUUUGGAAUUCCGGGCUGUCUGCUCUGACUCUGAACAUUAAGAAGAGAACAUGACCUUGAUGAAAGCCUAGAAACUGCUUCCGAUGGAAGGGUUUUCAGCUGUUUCUAGAUAAAAACUGACCUUUAAGAUAAAUUUCUCUUCCAGAAUUUUUUUUUUCCUUCGUGAAUUAGUUCUCUUUGCCUUGCCUUUCACUGCAGCCAAAUGGUACUUAAUGGAUCUUUGAAAUUUAAUAUCAUAUCCUAUGUUGCUAGACUUUCUGAAGCUUAAUAAGAAUCCUUUGAAAUGAUUUUGAAAUAGAAUUUGAGAGGAGAAUAGGCUUUAUUUUUGUUUGUGUUGAGCGUUUUCUCUGCUAUUUUAGUGGAUGAGCAAUCUGAUAGGCUUUCCCCUCUCCCUUUCCUCCUCUUUUUCUUCAUGAAGGAUGAUGGAAUUAGUAAUGUUACAGAACUUUACAUGCACUUAGCAAUUUAUCAACCAUAACCAGCUAAUCCACAGGAACACGGCAGGAGGAAGGCUUGUUAUUGGAUACACAGGAAUGAUUCCCAGAUCUUUCAUUUUCACUUCUGUAAACAGACCCAUAGUUCCUGGUACUCCAAGGCUCUCAGUACACCUCUCUUGAAUAAAUGAUCUUUUUGAGUAUUAUGACAAAUGGUUUCUAUUUUUUUUAUUAGCUGACUCAGAAAACACCUCCAUGCUGACCUGCAAUAUUUACACUAGCCCUGUUUCCUCCUCUUAAGUUAGGGCUGGACAUGGAGUAGGGACCUCAAAACCAUUUCUUGAAGGGAGCAUAAUGUAAGCAGCUGCUCUGACCACUAGCCCCUUCAUUAGUACCAAGGAUUCUCACAUAUGUUUUCUUUACAAGAACCUUGCACUAUAGAGGGCUGAAAAGAUUAAAAAAACAAAACACAGUUGA
RNAcentral lists this long non-coding RNA (2649 nucleotides) under Ovis aries (sheep). RNAcentral describes it as "lncRNA (ENSOARG00000027027.1)". The record is from RNAcentral. Lineage: Eukaryota; Metazoa; Chordata; Mammalia; Artiodactyla; Bovidae.